RNAcentral lists this ribosomal RNA (224 nucleotides) under uncultured bacterium. RNAcentral describes it as "partial 16S ribosomal RNA". It matches the Rfam family "Bacterial small subunit ribosomal RNA", at positions 524 to 746 of the family's 1533-position model. The record is from RNAcentral.
UACGUAGGGUGCAAGCGUUGUCCGGAAUUAUUGGGCGUAAAGAGCUCGUAGGCGGUCUGUCGCGUCUGCUGUGAAAACUCAGGGCUUAACCCUGAGCUUGCAGUGGGUACGGGCAGACUAGAGUGCGGUAGGGGAGACUGGAAUUCCUGGUGUAGCGGUGAAAUGCGCAGAUAUCAGGAGGAACACCGGUGGGCGAAGGCGGGUCUCUGGGCCGUAACUGACGC